UGUACUACCGAUAACCGUUUGAGAGAGGGGAUGACACAGUAGGAUAAGCUAAGCACACUGUUGGUUAUGUGUGCCCAAGCAUUGAGGCAGUCAAAGUAGGCAAAUCCGCUUUGAUAAUGCUGGGAUGUGAUGGGGAGCGAAAUUUAGUAGCGAAGUAGCUGAUUUCACACUGUCAAGAAAAGUCUCUAUCGAGGUUAAAGGUACCCGUACCGCAAACCGACACAGGUGGGUGAGGAGAGUAUCCUAAGGCCAGCGAGAGAACUGUUGUUAAGGAACUCGGCAAAAUGACCCCGUAACUUAGGGAUAAGGGGUGCCACCAUCAGGUGGCCGCAGAGAAUAGGCCCAAGCGACUGUUUACCAAAAACAUAGGUUUCUGCUAAGUCGCAAGACGAUGUAUAGGAGCUGACGCCUGCCCGGUGCUGGAAGGUUAAGGGGA
This 436-nucleotide ribosomal RNA is filed under the name Clostridioides difficile. Its description in RNAcentral is "partial 23S ribosomal RNA". It matches the Rfam family "Bacterial large subunit ribosomal RNA", at positions 1440 to 1885 of the family's 2925-position model. The record is from RNAcentral. Lineage: Bacteria; Bacillati; Bacillota; Clostridia; Peptostreptococcales; Peptostreptococcaceae.